AUGGCUCAGAACGAACGCUGGCGGCGUGCCUAACACAUGCAAGUCGAACGUGAUCCGGAGCUUGCUCCGGUGAAAGUGGCGCACGGGUGAGUAACGCGUGGAUAAUCUGCCUGAUGCUCUGGGAUAACAUCUCGAAAGGGGUGCUAAUACCGGAUAAGCCCACGGGGUCUUCGGACCUUGCGGGAAAAGAGGGGGACCUUCGGGCCUCUUGACAUCGGAUGAGUCCGCGUCCCAUUAGCUAGUUGGUGGGGUAAAGGCCUACCAAGGCGACGAUGGGUAGCUGGUCUGAGAGGAUGAUCAGCCACACUGGAACUGAGACACGGUCCAGACUCCUACGGGAGGCAGCAGUGGGGAAUUUUGCGCAAUGGGGGAAACCCUGACGCAGCAACGCCGCGUGAGUGAUGAAGGCCUUCGGGUCGUAAAGCUCUGUCAGAGGGAAAGAAAUGUGGGCAGCUAAUAUCUGUUCCGCUUGACGGUACCCUCAGAGGAAGCACCGGCUAACUCCGUGCCAGCAGCCGCGGUAAUACGGAGGGUGCGAGCGUUGUUCGGAAUUAUUGGGCGUAAAGCGCGUGUAGGCGGUUUGCUCAGUCUGAUGUGAAAGCCCUGGGCUCAACCUGGGAAGUGCAUUGGAUACUGGCAGACUUGAGUACGGGAGAGGGUAG
Molecule: ribosomal RNA, 662 nt
Filed under: uncultured bacterium
Lineage: Bacteria
Description: bacterial SSU rRNA
Rfam family: Bacterial small subunit ribosomal RNA
Source: RNAcentral